Molecule: non-coding RNA, 45 nt
Filed under: Schistosoma bovis
Lineage: Eukaryota; Metazoa; Platyhelminthes; Trematoda; Strigeidida; Schistosomatidae
Also listed under: 1 other name
Source: RNAcentral
AUCCAGCUGACGGCUCUUAAAUACGGCGAAACGCGCGUCCUGGAU